UCCCACAGGCUCGACGCCAGCGCCCGCCACGUGGCCUGGGGGUCCCUGCAGUGGCGCUUACCAGGCACGCCCCUCCGGUCCCCGUGCGCGCCCCGUCUGGGCGGCCGGGACUCGGGUUCGGCCUCAGCGCGCCGCCCCCUCGGGAGAGGCCUCCCAGCCCCCGGGGCAGCCGCCGUGAGGGCCCCUCUGAGGCGGGGACCCUUCCUCCCCGGGAGGGACCCUCCUGGAGCCUAAGGGCCCCCUUUCCCCCCCCCACCAGGGGCCGAGGCGCCCGGCACCUUCUGUGCCUGUGACCCCCGACGCGUAAGGGAUCCGGGCCACAUGGAGCUUCAGGCUCCUUUUGCAAUGAAAAAACAAAACACAAAAAACUUCGAGAGCGAAACUGACCCAGGACGGAGGCUCAGAGCCCGGGACGCUGUCCGCGUUCCAGGCGCACGCGGGGAUCUCCCCCGCGGCCCGGCGGCUCUGAGCACCCGGGCCCGGCCGGGUGAGGACGUGGGUAAGAGCACUGGCCUGAAACUCCGAAAGCUGCAGUGCGGAGCCGUGUUAAUUCCGGUGUGAGCAAGAAGGGGAGCAGGCUCAGUCCGGUUCAAGAUGCUGACAAACUUCAGAACUGAUACUUGAAAGAAGCUGUUGGAGGAGGAGAUAAGGUAUAUUUGAACACGUGACAAUUGAUAUAUACAGAAUAGAGGCUUUCACUUACUGUCCCUUUCAUGGUGGUGAAAAGGUGCCAGAUAUCUAUAAGAACAUAUAUCUGCCCUAAAGAGAAUUUCUGUAGAAUGCAAUUCCAUUUAAACUAUUUAAAGUAGUUUUUCUGCCAACCAGCCCCAGCCUGAAGCUUGACAUAGUAACUAGACUAGCUAUUGUAUCAGUACAACUAUCUUAAGACAACUUUGUCAGCUGCUUUAAUUUACAGAGGUUAUUUUUAAAUCCCAUUGUUUUGACUAUUCUAAACAUUGUAUGCUUCAAAAUAUCCUUUUAAAAACUUGGUUUUUGUGCUUAGAAUUUUUUCUAUAAUAGAUUAUUUCGAUGAUUAAAUGUGACCCCUUUGACAGUGGAUUUCUAAAGAUCAGGGAGGAGUUUGUUGCAUAGGAUUUUAGUGUGGGGAGAGCAGGUUGAAGAACUGUUCUACACUUUGAUUAUGGUGGUGAUUGCAUUUGUCAAAUUUUGGAGUGAGUUUUACUGAAUGUAAAUUCAACUUCAAUAAACAUGACU
Molecule: long non-coding RNA, 1215 nt
Organism: Hippopotamus amphibius kiboko
Lineage: Eukaryota; Metazoa; Chordata; Mammalia; Artiodactyla; Hippopotamidae
Exons: 3
Source: RefSeq, a predicted model, not a curated record